RNAcentral lists this ribosomal RNA (544 nucleotides) under fungal endophyte. Its description in RNAcentral is "eukaryotic LSU rRNA". The stretch from base 229 to 382 matches the Rfam family "5.8S ribosomal RNA". Lineage: Eukaryota; Fungi. The record is from RNAcentral.
GGAAGUAAAAGUCGUAACAAGGUCUCCGUUGGUGAACCAGCGGAGGGAUCAUUGCUGGAACGCGCCCCAGGCGCACCCAGAAACCCUUUGUGAACUUAUACCUUUUGUUGCCUCGGCGCAUGCUGGCCUCUAGUAGGCCCCUCACCCCGGUGAGGAGAAGGCACGCCGGCGGCCAAGUUAACUCUUGUUUUUACACUGAAACUCUGAGAAAAAACACAAAUGAAUCAAAACUUUCAACAACGGAUCUCUUGGUUCUGGCAUCGAUGAAGAACGCAGCGAAAUGCGAUAAGUAAUGUGAAUUGCAGAAUUCAGUGAAUCAUCGAAUCUUUGAACGCACAUUGCGCCCUCUGGUAUUCCGGAGGGCAUGCCUGUUCGAGCGUCAUUUCAACCCUCAAGCAUUGCUUGGUGUUGGGGCACUGCUUCUAACGAAGCAGGCCCUGAAAUCUAGUGGCGAGCUCGCCAGGACCCCGAGCGUAGUAGUUAAACCCUCGCUCUGGAAGGCCCUGGCGGUGCCCUGCCGUUAAACCCCCAACUUUUGAAAAUU